GUAAUACAUAUGCAACCUGCCCGUAGCUGGAGAAUAGCUUCCUGAAACGGAAAUUAAUACUCCAUAAUAUUCUAGUAUCGCAUGUUAUUAGAAUUAAAGCUUCGGUGGCUACGGAUGGGCAUAUGUCCCAUUAGCUUGUUGGUGAGGUAACUGCUCACCAAGGCUACGAUGGGUAGGGGGUCUGAGAGGAUGAUCCCCCACACUGGUACUGAGACACGGACCAGACUCCUACGGGAGGCAGCAGUGAGGAAUAUUGGUCAAUGGGCGAAAGCCUGAACCAGCCAUGCCGCGUGCAGGAUGACAGUCCUACGGAUUGUAAACUGCUUUUCUGCAAGAAGAAAUGUUCCGACGUGUCGGGAUUUGACGGUAUUGCAGGAAUAAGCAUCGGCUAACUCCGUGCCAGCAGCCGCGGUAAUACGGAGGAUGCAAGCGUUAUCCGGAUUCAUUGGGUUUAAAGGGUGCGUAGGCGGAUUAGAUAGUCAAAGGUGAAAGCCUGCAGCUUAACUGUAGAAGUGCCUUUGAUACUGCUAAUCUUGAGUACAGUUGAGGCGAGUGGAAUGUGUAGUGUAGCGGUGAAAUGCAUAGAUACUACACAGAACACCAAUUGCGAAGGCAGCUCGCUAAGCUGUUACUGACGCUCAGGCACGAAAGCGUGGGGAGCGAACAGGAUUAGAUACCCUGGUAGUCCACGCUGUAAACUAUGAUCACUAGCUGUUGGCGAUAAAUUGUCAGUGGCUCAGCGAAAGCGUUAAGUGAUCCACCUGGGGAGUACGAUCGCAAGGUUGAAACUCAAAGGAAUUGACGGGGGCCCGCACAAGCGGUGGAACAUGUGGUUUAAUUCGAUGAUACGCGAGGAACCUUACCUGGGCUUAAAUGUAGCGCGACGUCUCGAGAAAUCGGGAUUCCCUUCGGGGCGAAGUACAAGGUGUUGCAUGGUGGUCGUCAGCUCGUGCCGUGAGGUAUCGGGUUAAGUCCCACUCCGAGCGCAAC
Molecule: ribosomal RNA, 990 nt
Filed under: uncultured organism
Description: bacterial SSU rRNA
Rfam family: Bacterial small subunit ribosomal RNA
Source: RNAcentral